Molecule: non-coding RNA, 23 nt
Filed under: Arabidopsis thaliana (thale cress)
Lineage: Eukaryota; Viridiplantae; Streptophyta; Magnoliopsida; Brassicales; Brassicaceae
Source: RNAcentral
UUCUUUCUUGUGCUUGGUUAAUU